Molecule: ribosomal RNA, 172 nt
Filed under: uncultured Pseudomonadota bacterium
Lineage: Bacteria; Pseudomonadati; Pseudomonadota
Description: uncultured proteobacterium partial 16S ribosomal RNA
Rfam family: Bacterial small subunit ribosomal RNA
Source: RNAcentral
ACUCCUACGGGAGGCAGCAGUGGGGAAUAUUNCAAUGGACGAAAGUCUGANGCAGCCAUGCCGCGUGUGUGAAGAAGGCCUUAGGGUUGUAAAGCACUUUCAAUGGGGAGGAAAGGUUGUAAGUUAAUACCUNGCAAGCGUGANNGUACCCNUACAAGAAGCCCGGNUNACU